Cicer arietinum (chickpea) is the source of this 2694-nucleotide non-coding RNA. NCBI's taxonomy places the organism in Eukaryota, Viridiplantae, Streptophyta, Magnoliopsida, Fabales, Fabaceae. The record is from RefSeq and is a predicted model, not a curated record.
UUUUUCAAUUUCAAUUCCCUAUUUCAUCUCAGAAAUCAUUAAAGCUUUUUCCAAUUUCAAUUCUCUAUUUCUUCGAUUCCAUCUUCAAUGGAUUCCUUUAAUUUCAGAUUCAAACUCAGCAAUUUCUUUAUGAUACACAAACUUAGCUAUUUCUCCCUUACACAAACUCUCUAGCAAAUUCUCGUUUCUCCUUUGCGCAAAACAAUCAAUUCACAUAACGCUCUCUUUCUAUCUCGCAAGAAUCUAUCUUCUUUGUCGCCCAUUCUUCUCUCUCGCUCAACCUCAUUUCUAAAUGAAAAAGAGGAAAAAAUAGUGUUGGUGAGUGAACAUCAAUUAGGUUUUUCUCGUGGCUUGCGAGACUUUUCCCCUAUUCUCGCAACUUAACCUCUGCAUCGAUUAGAGUUUCUGCAUCUUGCGAGACUUGCAACACUUCUACCUCUUCGUGACUUGGUGAUUUUGCUAUGAAUUUUCAUCUUUGCCUUGUUAUCUCUCAAAAGAGAAUAAAAGUAACUCAUUUCCCUAUUUUGCAUGAUUGCAUCUUAAUAACUUUCUAUAGUGAUUGUAUUAUUUAACUAUAUUUAAGCUUAAUCGAUGCUUUUAUGCACUAGUUUAGUUAUUGCUUUUGCAUUACUUUAAAAGUAACUCUUAAUCAUCUUGAAAUCAUUGAAUUGAUGUUUUCUGGUUUACUCUAAAAGUUCAAUUUGAUUCUAAGUGACAUAAAAUUAUGACUUAGUUAGGAAGUAUGACUGACUAAAAUUAUGAAAAUUGGUAUUUAAUUGGGUUUUCAAAUUUUAUGGUAUUUAUUAAAAUUUUGGUCGAUCAUCUCUGCAUUAAUUUGAUAUGCUCAUUGAUGUAUAUUUGUUUUCUGUUUUCUGCUCUUCUGAUUCUAAAUCCAGUUCUAGCUUUUCUAUUUUAAAUCCUUUGGUUAUGAUUCUGAUUAGCAUCAAGUGAAUAAAAUAGAUUUCAAAGCAUUGUGAAAAUAAUAAACACUUCCUAAUUGUUAGUUAGUAUAUAUUGUUGGCUGGAACACCUAGAAUGCCUUCAUCUAAUUUUUGUUAUUAUUUUUAGGCUGCAAAGUCUCUAAUUCUUUUUCCAUUGUACUCAUCCUACCCUUAUUGAUAGUUCUUUAUAUGAAGCACUUGAGAUAUGGUGAACCUAUUAUGCUAUUUCCCUUUCUUAAUUUAUGAGAUUUCGUGGAUUAUAAAAUAUGAGAAACUCAACUCUCUAAUCUUAGAGACACUUUGAAAAACUUGAAGCAUCAAGGAUGAAGAAGGGUUAGUGUUAACAUAAAUAAGGGUUAGUGUUCAGUCUUUGAUUCUAUAUUUAGAUCUAGUUGUUGAAGGAUUGAUUUGGGGUUGUGAAUUUUUUGUUCCUGUUGAGAAAAAAAAUGAAGUCAGGGUCACUGGAUCAGUGGAGGAACUACUUUAGGUCGUCAAAUUUGGAUACUUUCGAUAUAAUUGACUAUGCAAUUGUGGUUGCUGCUUCUGAUUGUCCAAAGGAGUUUAAGUUGAGGAGAGAUAAGAUUGUUGAGAGGUUGUUCUCUUGUAAGUUGACUCGUUGUUUGGGGUGUGAUAAGGUUGAAUUGGCUGUGAAUGGGGAUGAUGAUCAUGAAGGUUGCAAGAGUGAUGGUGUUGAGUUUGGAGCUAGUGGAAGCAAAGAGAGUAAGGUGACUGAUCAUGGAUUGAUGAUGGAUGGAAACCUUGUUAGCAAUUAUAGCUUUGGUGAAGCUGAGGCUUUGACUGAUGAGAUUGAAGAAGAAUCUCAGUUUGUUGGUGAGGUUUUGAGGAUUAGACUUUAGAGACAUUCUCUAUAACCGUGAAGAAGAGGUAAGUUUAAUUAAGAAGGUUACCGAACAAGUAAGACUUCUUGCCAAGGAUGAAGAUGAGAAACUUACCGAAACCAGCUUAUAUGAUGUUAUUCCUCCUUAUGACCAAGCAAAAGCACUUGGGAAGACAAAUAUUGAUGUUGAUUGUAUAGCUUCUGGCUUACCUUGUGGUAGUGAAGGGUUUCUCUUAAUGUUUGCUCGGUGGAAAAAGCUUGAAAGAGACAUAUAUAAUCAACGGAAGGAGCGCUUUGACAUAACCCAAAUUCCUGACGUGUAUGAUUCAUGCAAGUUAUCUCUCUCAUUAGAUAUGAUCUCUUGCACAAUGCACAUCUUAAUCUAGAAGGACUGGAUGAACUAUUUAAAGUUGCUCAGGCACUUGCUGAUGGUGUAAUUCCAAAUGAAUACGGAAUUAAUCCAAUUCAGAAGCUGAAGAUUGGCUCAAAGAUCGCACGUCGGUUAUUUGGGAAAUUCUUUGAUUGAUCCGAGGAACACCCGUGAGGAAGCCAAAAGCUGAGGGAGUAGAUCCCUAUACUUGUUGAGUCUUGUUGUAAGCCAAAAGCCAAAUUUUCGAUUAUUGUAAGUCUUGUUUUUUCUGUUUGUAUACUUGUUGAGUUCUACUCCCUAUUCUUAUAUGGUUGUAAUUGAUGCACAAAAGCUGUCAAAGGUGUUUUGAUUCUCUGUUGUAAAAUUCUGCUAUUUGCAGAAUGUCUCAGAAACCAAACUGGAGAGUCCAGAUGAGUCAUUUAAGGUCUAGCAUAAAGCCAACUUACUUAGUGAUUUUGUUGGAUUUGGAUUCCUUAUUUCAAUAUAUACUUUUUAUAUCCAUAUCCAAAAAUUUUGGAGUAUUUACUAAAUAUUUUGUUUACGAA